RNAcentral lists this ribosomal RNA (435 nucleotides) under Triticum aestivum (bread wheat). RNAcentral's name for it is "partial small subunit ribosomal RNA". The record is from RNAcentral. Lineage: Eukaryota; Viridiplantae; Streptophyta; Magnoliopsida; Poales; Poaceae.
AUGAGUGCAAAAUGUGCAUUCGCACUGACCAGAAAGAGCGAGAUGUAUGCAUACUCUGCAGCCCUACAAAGGUACCGUAAGCUAAGGAAUUUUAGUCACACAGCAUGUUUCAAGGCAUGCCACUCUGAUGAGGCGUUUCAGUAUCUAAAAAGGGUUUUGGAAGGACAAGAUGUUUGCAAGGGAUCAACAAGUGAACAAGCUGAUAGCAAGGGAUCAACUAAUGCUCAGGGUAACCGCAUUAGGUUUGGCCCGUUGAUGCCACAAUCGGCUAACCUUGAUGGUGAAGGUUUCGAAAAGGUUCUGGAUCCCGUGCAUGUGCCAGGCCGAGGAUCUCAAAGAAGAACUAUGAUAGCUACAACAUUAUGCGCACGGUCGGACAACAAGUACGCCGACGAUCAACCUGAUGUUGGCGUGUGCAUUAUCGUCUAUGUCUAG